GACAGUUCUCAGGUGAUGCAACCUGGAAUCGGGCUCCCUCCUCUCUGGUUCUGGGAGGUGUCGCCCAAAAACUGUA
This is a non-coding RNA of Myotis davidii, 76 nucleotides long. Lineage: Eukaryota; Metazoa; Chordata; Mammalia; Chiroptera; Vespertilionidae. The record is from Rfam.